This 497-nucleotide ribosomal RNA is filed under the name uncultured bacterium. RNAcentral describes it as "partial 16S ribosomal RNA". It matches the Rfam family "Bacterial small subunit ribosomal RNA", at positions 28 to 507 of the family's 1533-position model. The record is from RNAcentral.
GAUGAACGCUGGCGGCGUGCCUAAUACAUGCAAGUCGAGCGAACAGACGAGGAGCUUGCUCCUCUGACGUUAGCGGCGGACGGGUGAGUAACACGUGGAUAACCUACCUAUAAGACUGGGAUAACUUCGGGAAACCGGAGCUAAUACCGGAUAAUAUAUUGAACCGCAUGGUUCAAUAGUGAAAGACGGUUUUGCUGUCACUUAUAGAUGGAUCCGCGCCGCAUUAGCUAGUUGGUAAGGUAACGGCUUACCAAGGCAACGAUGCGUAGCCGACCUGAGAGGCGGAUCGGCCACAUUGGAACUGGACCGCGGUCCAGAGUCCUGCGGGAGGCAGCAGUAGGGAAUCGGCCGCAGCGGGCGAAAGCCUUACGGAGCAACGCGGCGUGAGUGAUGAAGAUCUUCGGAGCGUAAAACUCUGUUAUUAGGGAAGAACAAAUGUGUAAGUAACUAUGCACGGCUUGACGGUACCUAAUCAGAAAGCCACGGCUAACUACGUG